RNAcentral lists this ribosomal RNA (463 nucleotides) under uncultured bacterium. RNAcentral's name for it is "partial 16S ribosomal RNA". It matches the Rfam family "Bacterial small subunit ribosomal RNA", at positions 28 to 507 of the family's 1533-position model. The record is from RNAcentral.
GAUGAACGCUGACAGAAUGCUUAACACAUGCAAGUCUUUGGCGAAUCUGUGCUUGCACAGGCUAGCCAAGGCGGACGGGUGAGUAACGCGUAAAGAACUUGCCCUGCAGACAGGGAUAACAGACGGAAACGACUGAUAACACCUGAUACGGUUGCCGGCACGCAUGUGCCUGGCAAUGAAAAGAGAUGCUGCAGGAGAGCUUUGCGUCCUAUUAGCUUGUUGGUGAGGUGACGGCUCACCAAGGCGAUGAUAGGUAGCCGGCCUGAGAGGGUGAACGGCCACAAGGGGACUGAGAUACGGCCCUUACUCCUACGGGAGGCAGCAGUGGGGAAUAUUGGACAAUGGGGGCAACCCUGAUCCAGCAAUUCUGUGUGCACGAAGAAGGUUUUCGGAUUGUAAAGUGCUUUCAGCAGGGAAGAAGAAAGUGACGGUACCUGCAGAAGAAGCGACGGCUAAAUACGUG